GACGAACGCUGGCGGCGUGCUUAACACAUGCAAGUCGAGCGGAAAGACCCUGCUCUUGUUGGGUGCUCGAGUGGCGAACGGGUGAGUAACACGUGAGUAACCUCCCCUUGACUUUGGGAUAACUUCAGGGAACUGCGGCUAUUACCCGGUAGAAGCUCCUGCUGCGUGGUGUGGGUUGGUAAGUUUCGGCUGUUGGGGAUGGGCUCGCUGCUUAUCCGCUUCUUUGUGGAGUAGGGGCUUCCCAAGGCUUUGACGGGUAGCCGGCCUGAGAGGGUGACCGGGGACAUGGGGACUGCGGUAGGGACCAGAAGGGUACGGGCGGCAGUAGUGGGGAACAUGGCACAAUGGGCGGAAGCCUGAGGCAGAAAUGUCGGGAGCGGAAUGCUGUCUUUUGGGUUGUAAACCGAUUUGGACGGUGAUGAAGCGUGAGUGACGGUAAUUGGUAAAGAAGCAACGGCUAACUACGUG
Molecule: ribosomal RNA, 468 nt
Filed under: uncultured bacterium
Lineage: Bacteria
Description: partial 16S ribosomal RNA
Rfam family: Bacterial small subunit ribosomal RNA
Source: RNAcentral